Molecule: ribosomal RNA, 139 nt
Filed under: Rhizopogon luteolus
Lineage: Eukaryota; Fungi; Basidiomycota; Agaricomycetes; Boletales; Rhizopogonaceae
Description: 5.8S ribosomal RNA
Rfam family: 5.8S ribosomal RNA
About the family: 5.8S ribosomal RNA (5.8S rRNA) is a component of the large subunit of the eukaryotic ribosome. It is transcribed by RNA polymerase I as part of the 45S precursor that also contains 18S and 28S rRNA.
Source: RNAcentral
CAACUUUCAGCAAUGGAUCUCUUGGCUCUCGCAUCGAUGAAGAACGCAGCGAAACGCGAUAUGUAAUGUGAAUUGCAGAUCUACAGUGAAUCAUCGAAUCUUUGAACGCACCUUGCGCUCCUUGGUAUUCCGAGGAGCA